CCCUUAGAUGUUCUGGGCCGCACGCGCGCUACACUGAUGCAUUCAACAAGUUUUACCUUGGCCGAGAGGCCUGGGAAAUCUUUCAAAUAUGUAUCGUGAUAGGGAUAGAUUAUUGCAAUUAUUAAUCUUGAACGAGGAAUUCCUAGUAAAUGCAGAUCAUCAUUCUGCGUUGAUUACGUCCCUGCCCUUUGUACACACCGCCCGUCGCACCUACCGAUUGAAUGAUCCGGUGAAGCCUCGGGAUUGUGCCCAGAGAACUUUAUUGUGAUUUGGGUGUGAGAACUUGUCCAAACCUUAUCAUUUAGAGGAAGGUGAAGUCGUAACA
This 325-nucleotide ribosomal RNA is filed under the name uncultured eukaryote. RNAcentral's name for it is "partial 18S ribosomal RNA". It matches the Rfam family "Eukaryotic small subunit ribosomal RNA", at positions 1470 to 1796 of the family's 1831-position model. The record is from RNAcentral.